This 270-nucleotide ribosomal RNA is filed under the name uncultured archaeon. RNAcentral's name for it is "partial 16S ribosomal RNA". It matches the Rfam family "Archaeal small subunit ribosomal RNA", at positions 477 to 747 of the family's 1478-position model. The record is from RNAcentral.
CAGCACCUCAAGUGGUCAGGAUGAUUAUUGGGCCUAAAGCAUCCGUAGCCGGCGCUGUAAGUUUUCGGUUAAAUCUGUACGCUCAACGUACAGGCUGCCGGGAAUACUGCAGCGCUAGGGAGUGGGAGAGGCAGACGGUACUCGGUAGGAAGGGGUAAAAUCCUUUGAUCUAUUGAUGACCACCUGUGGCGAAGGCGGUCUACCAGAACACGUCCGACGGUGAGGGAUGAAAGCUGGGGGAGCAAACCGGAUUAGAGACCCGAGUAGUCC